AGUGAACGCUGGCGGUAGGCCUAACACAUGCAAGUCGAACGGCAGCACAGGAGAGCUUGCUCUCUGGGUGGCGAGUGGCGGACGGGUGAGGAAUACAUCGGAAUCUACUUUUUCGUGGGGGAUAACGUAGGGAAACUUACGCUAAUACCGCAUACGACCUACGGGUGAAAGCAGGGGAUCUUCGGACCUUGCGCGAUUGAAUGAGCCGAUGUCGGAUUAGCUAGUUGGCGGGGUAAAGGCCCACCAAGGCGACGAUCCGUAGCUGGUCUGAGAGGAUGAUCAGCCAAACUGGAACUGAGACACGGUCCAGAGUCCUACGGGAGGCAGCGGUGGGGAAUAUUGGACAAUGGGCGCAAGCCUGAUCCAGCCAUACCGCGUGGGUGAAGAAGGCCUUCGGGUUGUAAAGCCCUUUUGUUGGGAAAGAAAUCCAGCUGGCUAAUACCCGGUUGGGAUGACGGUACCCAAAGAAUAAGCACCGGCUAACUUCGUGCCAGCCGCCGCGGUAA
RNAcentral lists this ribosomal RNA (506 nucleotides) under uncultured bacterium. RNAcentral's name for it is "partial 16S ribosomal RNA". It matches the Rfam family "Bacterial small subunit ribosomal RNA", at positions 29 to 523 of the family's 1533-position model. The record is from RNAcentral.